RNAcentral lists this long non-coding RNA (299 nucleotides) under Eutrema salsugineum. RNAcentral describes it as "long non-coding RNA (ESAL_LNC000760)". The record is from RNAcentral. Lineage: Eukaryota; Viridiplantae; Streptophyta; Magnoliopsida; Brassicales; Brassicaceae.
CGAAAUUGAUAAAGAAAGAACAAGGUUUCAAGAGAACAAAUCUCUCUCUCCCUAAAAGCUAAAGCAAAAACAAUGAAAGUAUGAAGUAAAUAAUUCGGUUCUCUAAGGUUACACGAUUUCUUGGGCUCCUAAGACAUGUAUUUAUAGUGCUCAAGAUCUCUCUAGACGUCACUUAGGGUUUCUCCAAAUGUGGGCUUCAGAAAUGGGUUUUUUGGGCUCGGAGGUUGAAGGCCGCGGUCGGGACAAGUGUGACCGCGGUGGAUGAGUGGUUUGCCGUGGUCGGGAUGCUUCUGACCGCG